Molecule: ribosomal RNA, 497 nt
Filed under: uncultured bacterium
Lineage: Bacteria
Description: partial 16S ribosomal RNA
Rfam family: Bacterial small subunit ribosomal RNA
Source: RNAcentral
ACUCAAAUGAAUUGACGGGGGACCGCACAAGCGGUGGAGCAUGUGGCUUAAUUCGAUGCAACGCGAAGAACCUUACCAGGGCUUGACAUGUAUCUGCAAGCGUCCGAAAAGACGUCGCCUUCGAGGGUGAUACACAGGUGGUGCAUGGCUGUCGUCAGCUCGUGUUGUGAAAUGUUGGGUUAAGUCCCGCAACGAGCGCAACCCUCAUUGUCUGUUGCCAGCGAGUAAUGUCGGGAACUCGGACAAAACUGCCUCUGUAAGGAGGAGGAAGGUGGGGAUGACGUCAAGUCAUCAUGCCCCUUACGCCCUGGGCUGCACACAUGCUACAAUGGCCGGUACAAAGGGUUGCUAACCCGCGAGGGUAUGCUAAUCUCAAAAAACCGGUCUCAGUUCGGAUUGGGGUCUGCAACUCGACCCCAUGAAGUCGGAAUCGCUAGUAAACGCCGGUCAGCAAUACGGCGUUGAAUACGUUCCCGGUCCUUGCACACACCGCCCGU